Molecule: long non-coding RNA, 834 nt
Organism: Gadus macrocephalus (Pacific cod)
Lineage: Eukaryota; Metazoa; Chordata; Actinopteri; Gadiformes; Gadidae
Exons: 2
Source: RefSeq, a predicted model, not a curated record
UGUGUGUGUGUGUGUGUGUGUGUGUGUGUGUGUGUGUGUGUGUGUGUGUGUGUGUGUGUGUGUGUGUGUGUGUGUGUGUGUGUGUGUGUGUGUGUGUGUUACGUUUUAAUCUUUGCCGUAGGCUUGUCUUAUAUGGCCAAUCUGUUUCAAUUUGAUGUGAUGACACGCCGAGUUCUUGCAGUUUUACCCAUGUUUACAAUUUUUAACCGGUGUAUUGUCAGCAAUGACCGAAACCGGUGAAGCCUUCAAUAAAUGUGAUUCAGCGAUGCAUGGGUUAAUGCAGUUUUGCGCAAGUUUAAAAUGUUUCCUAGUAAUUUGUCAGCUGCGAUCACUACCUUUAAUUAAUUCCACCUUUAUGUCAUAAAUAUAACAUGCCAUUGAUUAAUGUUUUUAUGGUGCAUCUUGGCUAUUUUAUGUUCAAUCAAAUUGGCUUUGCCUGCCGCAUUUGAACAUUUCUGGCUACGCCACUGCCAAGAGGAAAACCUAUACCUUCAAGAUAUCUGACAAAAGCCUGCUGUGACACAGCUGACUCGCUGACUCAUGGGAUGUAGCCGGGCUCUGACUAGACGACGGCGUAUCGACCUCCAUGACAAACGUCGAUUAGACUUGUGAUCGACGACGAAAUGUUUGCUGGGACUCGACUCCUCCCAGACACACUAGUCGCUGAGUCGCUGAGUCUCUGUUUGUUCACUGAUGGGAGUGGUGAAGAGGGUAGAGGCUUAGUGAGCGAGUGUAGGCCUAUGAUAACACGAUUCAAUAUCAGUGAAAUGGUAAAUGCAUGCUGUCUUUGUAUUUUCGGUGUCAUGCCAGAUUAAUAUAAUAUUGAAUGUCUCG